This 1709-nucleotide long non-coding RNA is filed under the name Vigna radiata. RNAcentral's name for it is "long non-coding RNA (VRAD_LNC008133)". The record is from RNAcentral. Lineage: Eukaryota; Viridiplantae; Streptophyta; Magnoliopsida; Fabales; Fabaceae.
CUCCUUGUUCAUGAGCGGCGCCGGCCAUUCGUCGCGCAAGUUGCCGCUGCCACCAAGUUAGGGUUGUCGCUCUCCGUCGAGCUCCUAUGUCCAUUGUGCUGCUGCCACUGUCGAAUCGGAGGCGUGGCUCCCUUCUUCUCUUCGCGAGUGAGAGAGGUAGUUCUCUCCUUCGUGAAUCGCCUCUUGGAAGAGCUUGGCCACCGCAAGCCGCAAGCUAGGGCCCCACUAGUGCCGCCGAUCAUCGCCUGAACUGUCAGUAGCAUCAUCGUCCAGGCCAGUAGUGUCGGCGCCCCUUGCGGCGGCUCAACCUCUUCUACUAGUUGCAUCGCUUGGCGACGCCGAUGCAGCGACAUAACUUCCCAUUCUCCUCCCUCUCUAGUUCACCUGUGUUUUUUCUCUCUUGGGAAUGGUUGUGCUGUGUGUUGUAGGUGAAUGGGGGUUGGUGUUACAGGUGAAACAAUAAAAAAUUGAAGCUCAUAUUGUCAUUGCGAACAGAGGCCAGUAGUGUGUGGGUGAAUGAAUUGAGUAAACAAAGGUGAUGUUUGUUGCGUGAAUGGAGGGAUUAGAGAAGAGGGUGAGAGGUGGAUAAUGGAUGUUGUUGAGGUGCCAGACAGGUAGAGGCGUGGUUUGUGAGUGAGGAUAUGGUUGUGGUGAUGGUAGGAAAACACGGUAGAGGUUAGGAAAUGGGCUAGUUUUUCUCUGUUUUCAGGUGUUGAAGAAGAUGGAGGGGAGAAUCUGUGCGUGAUUAGUUCUUCUCUAUUUUGUUUCGGUUCUUUGUUUCUGUGUUCUGUAAUGGAGGAGGUGGUGGCUAGCGAAAGGGGUUGUGUGUGAGUGAGUAACGAGUCAAUAUUCGUUUGGUAGUGGUAAGUGUUGAUGAAGAUGGUGGAAUGGUAGCGGUAGGAGUUGACGGUUGGAGGGGAGUGAUACUGUUUUUGUUGAUUCAGAAUGGUGUACGAAGGAAAAGGGGAAUUGAGGGUAGUGUGAGAGGUGCCUAGUGGUUGGCAUUGGAAGUGCGCUGAUGAUAGUGAAGGGUGAUGAUGAAGAUGUUGUGUCUAGAGAACGGAUGUGCCACCCCAAGACUAUAGAGGCCUCCGAUGGAGAUGGCAGGUGGUGAAAGCCAUGGAGAAUGGUCAGAGGUAACAAUGAUGAAUCUGUUGGGUGAUGAAUUGGGAACCAGUGGUAUUGGAGAGCAGAGGAAACAGUUAAGAUGUGGUAAGGAGGUAGUGGUGAGUCCUAGGGGAAUUGUGCUAAUGGAAGAUCGGGAACGAAGGUGGUGGAAGAAUGCUAAUAGGAUCUGUGGGUGAUCUUGGAGGUGAGGGAAAACCAGAAUGCUUAAGCUUCCUCACUGUCCCAGCUUUCUUCUUCUGCUUUCUGAAUCACUGGGGCAUAUCUCUUAGGAUCUCCCUUUUGUCUUUUUCUUUUCUUUCAUUUAAAAUGGAUUCAUUAGCCAAAGUGAUUCAAAUUUCCUUUCCUAUUUGAUGUAAGAUUGCAGUUCUGCGCAAGGAUUCUGGCUUGUACACAAUGAGCACCAUGUUGCAGGAGAAACAGCGUUGCAGGAUAGAAAGCUUAGUUUGCGUUGCCAUAGGCUGGUAAUGGGAAGAAGCAAAGCCUGUUAUUCCUCAAAAAACAACUUAGGUUGACUAUUACGUUUUGUUUUCCUCUUUUUUCUUUUUUUUUUUUUUGAUUUUUUUGUUUUGUUAACAUUUAAC